This 253-nucleotide ribosomal RNA is filed under the name uncultured bacterium. RNAcentral describes it as "partial 16S ribosomal RNA". It matches the Rfam family "Bacterial small subunit ribosomal RNA", at positions 524 to 776 of the family's 1533-position model. The record is from RNAcentral.
UACGUAGGUGGCAAGCGUUGUCCGGAUUUACUGGGCGUAAAGAGCGCGCAGGCGGUCGUUCAAGUCGCGUGUGAAAGCCCCCGGCUCAACUGGGGAGGGUCACGCGAUACUGAUCGACUCGAAGGCAGGAGAGGGUAGUGGAAUUCCCGGUGUAGCGGUGAAAUGCGCAGAUAUCGGGAGGAACACCUAUUGCGAAGGCAGCUCGCUGGGACGUUACUGACGCUGAGACGCGAAAGCGUGGGGAGCAAACAGG